Molecule: ribosomal RNA, 253 nt
Filed under: uncultured bacterium
Lineage: Bacteria
Description: partial 16S ribosomal RNA
Rfam family: Bacterial small subunit ribosomal RNA
Source: RNAcentral
UACGGAGGGUGCAAGCGUUAUCCGGAUUCACUGGGUUUAAAGGGUGCGUAGGUGGAUUGGUAAGUCAGUGGUGAAAUCCCCAAGCUUAACUUGGGAACUGCCAUUGAUACUAUCAGUCUUGAAUACCGUGGAGGUCAGUGGAAUAUGUCAUGUAGCGGUGAAAUGCUUAGAUAUGACAUAGAACACCAAUUGCGAAGGCAGCUGGCUACACGAAUAUUGACACUCAGGCACGAAAGCGUGGGGAUCAAACAGG